RNAcentral lists this ribosomal RNA (254 nucleotides) under uncultured bacterium. Its description in RNAcentral is "partial 16S ribosomal RNA". It matches the Rfam family "Bacterial small subunit ribosomal RNA", at positions 524 to 776 of the family's 1533-position model. The record is from RNAcentral.
UACGUAGGUGGCAAGCGUUGUCCGGAUUUAUUGGGUUUAAAGGGUGCGUAGGCGGUUUUGUAAGUCAGUGGUGAAAUACUCCAGCUUAACUGGAGGGGUGCCAAUGAUACUGCAGAACUUGAGUACAGAUGAGGUAGGCGGAAUUGACGGUGUAGCGGUGAAAUGCAUAGAUAUCGAGAGGAACACCUGCGGCGAAGGCGGGUUGCUGGGCUGACACUGACGCUGACAGCGCGAAAGCUAGGGGAGCGAACGGG